RNAcentral lists this ribosomal RNA (861 nucleotides) under uncultured Bacillota bacterium. Its description in RNAcentral is "bacterial SSU rRNA". It matches the Rfam family "Bacterial small subunit ribosomal RNA", at positions 58 to 922 of the family's 1533-position model. The record is from RNAcentral. Lineage: Bacteria; Bacillati; Bacillota.
CAAGUCGAGUGCGCGCCUGUAGCAAUACAGGUGGCGCACGGCGCACGGGUGCGUAACACGUGGGUAAUCUGCCCUUCGAUGGGGAAUAACUCGCCGAAAGGCGAGCUAAUUCCGCAUAACAUUCCGAGGACUUUGGUUCUUGGAUUCAAAGGCGUAAGUCGUCGGAGGAGGAGCCCGCGCACGAUUAGCUAGUUGGUGAGGUAAUGGCUCACCAAGGCUAUGAUCGUUAGCUGGUCUGAGAGGAUGGCCAGCCACACUGGAACUGAGACACGGUCCAGACUCCUACGAGAGGCAGCAGUGGGGAAUCUUGCACAAUGGGCGAAAGCCUGAUGCAGCGACGCCGCGUGGGGGAUGAAGCUUUUCGGAGUGUAAACCCCUUUCGACCCGGACGAAUGCCUCGCAAGAGGACUGACGGUACGGGUAUAAGAAGCCCCGGCUAACUACGUGCCAGCAGCCGCGGUAAGACGUAGGGGGCCAGCGUUGCUCGGAAUUACUGGGUGUAAAGGGUUCGUAGGCGGUGUGGCAAGUCGGGAGUGAAAUCUCUGGGCUCAACCCAGAGUCUGCUUCCGAAACUGCUGUGCUUGAGUGUGGGAGAGGCGCGUGGAAUUGCAGGUGUAGCGGUGAAAUGCGUAGAUAUCUGCAGGAACACCCGUGGCGAAAGCGGCGCGCUGGACCACUACUGACGCUGAGGAACGAAAGCUAGGGGAGCAAACAGGAUUAGAUACCCUGGUAGUCCUAGCCCUAAACGAUCAGGACUUGGGGUGCCGCCCGUUCGGGCGUCNUCCCGGANCUAACNCGUUAAGUCCUGCACCUGGGGAGUACGGUCNCAAGACUGAAACUCAAAGGAAUUGACGGGGGCCC